GCUGGCGGCAGGCCUAACACAUGCAAGUCGAACGGUAACAGGAAGCAGCUUGCUGCUUUGCUGACCAGUGGCGGACGGGUGAGUAAUGUCUGGGAAACUGCCCGAUGGAGGGGGAUAACUACUGGAAACGGUAGCUAAUACCGCAUAACGUCGCAAGACCAAAGAGGGGGACCUUACGGCCUCUUGCCAUCGGAUGUGCCCAGAUGGGAUUAGCUAGUAGGUGGGGUAACGGCUCACCUAGGCGACGAUCCCUAGCUGGUCUGAGAGGAUGACCAGCCACACUGGAACUGAGACACGGUCCACACUCCUACGGGAGGCAGCAGUGGGGAAUAUUGCACAAUGGGCGCAAGCCUGAUGCAGCCAUGCCGCGUGUAUGAAGAAGGCCUUCGGGUUGUAAAGUACUUUCAGCGGGGAGGAAGGGAGUAAAGUUAAUACCUUUGCUCAUUGACGUUACCCGCAGAAGAAGCACCGGCUAACUCCGUGCCAGCAGCCGCGGUAAUACGGAGGGUGCAAGCGUUAAUCGGAAUUACUGGGCGUAAAGCGCACGCAGGCGGUUUGUUAAGUCAGAUGUGAAAUCCCCGGGCUCAACCUGAGAACUGCAUCUGAUACUGGCAAGCUUGAGUCUCGUAGAGGGGGGUAGAAUUCCAGGUGUAGCGGUGAAAUGCGUAG
RNAcentral lists this ribosomal RNA (669 nucleotides) under uncultured organism. RNAcentral's name for it is "SSU rRNA". It matches the Rfam family "Bacterial small subunit ribosomal RNA", at positions 35 to 693 of the family's 1533-position model. The record is from RNAcentral.